AGCCUGAACGCUGGCGGCGUGGCUAAGACAUGCAAGUCGUACGGAGGCCGCAAGGCCUCAGUGGCGAACGGGUGAGUAAUGUAUCGCUAACGUACCCCUGUGUCCGGGAUAGCCGGGGGAAACUCCGGGUAAUACCAGAUGACAUCACUGUCCCGCAUGAGACAGUGCUCAAAGGGCAACCGCACAGGGGAGCGGGGCGAGUAUACGGUAUCAGCUAGUUGGUGGGGUAACGGCCCACCAAGGCGACGACGCGUAGCCGGGCUGAGAGGUCGGCCGGCCACAUUGGGACUGAGACACUGCCCAGACUCCUACGGGGGCUGCAGUAACGAAUCUUCCGCAAUGCACGCAAGUGUGACGGAGCGACGCCGCGUGGUGGACGAAGCCCUUCGGGGUGUAAACCCUCUGUCAGGGGCAGGAAAGUUCUGACUCCGCCCAGAGGAAGGCACGGCUAACUCUGUGCCAGCAGCCGC
Molecule: ribosomal RNA, 470 nt
Filed under: uncultured bacterium
Lineage: Bacteria
Description: partial small subunit ribosomal RNA
Rfam family: Bacterial small subunit ribosomal RNA
Source: RNAcentral